UACAGAGGUCUCAAGCGUUGUUCGGAUUCAUUGGGCGUAAAGGGUGCGUAGGCGGCGCGGUAAGUCGGGUGUGAAAUCUCGGGGCUUAACUCCGAAACUGCAUUCGAUACUGCCGUGCUUGAGGACUGGAGAGGAGACUGGAAUUUACGGUGUAGCGGUGAAAUGCGUAGAUAUCGUAAGGAAGACCAGUGGCGAAGGCGGGUCUCUGGGCCGAUACUGACGCUGAGGCGCGAAAGCGUGGGGAGCAAACAGG
This 253-nucleotide ribosomal RNA is filed under the name uncultured bacterium. RNAcentral's name for it is "partial 16S ribosomal RNA". It matches the Rfam family "Bacterial small subunit ribosomal RNA", at positions 524 to 776 of the family's 1533-position model. The record is from RNAcentral.